Long non-coding RNA from Cyprinodon tularosa, 553 nucleotides. RefSeq lists it as uncharacterized. The transcript is spliced from 2 exons. NCBI's taxonomy places the organism in Eukaryota, Metazoa, Chordata, Actinopteri, Cyprinodontiformes, Cyprinodontidae. The record is from RefSeq and is a predicted model, not a curated record.
UUAGACAGACUACUGCCAAAGAGAGGCAGGCAGGGAGAGAGGGAAGAAAAAAAAAACCUGAAACAUUUACUCGGCGUUUAUGCUUAUAAUAAACAAGAUUUUAACACAUUCUUUUCCCUUUACCCUUUAUUACUCUUUCAAUCUGCUCUAUUUCUUAAAAAAAAAAAGAAAAAAAAACACGCUGCACGGAGGAUUAUUUAAAAGGUGGAAGCAGAAUUACCCUGAAAUCCUGAUAAUAUAUAUAUAUAUAUAUAUUUAUAUAUAUAAAACAAUCUUCGCAUGAAAUAUUAAUCCUGAAGCAGAAGAUGCGGCUGCAGCGGAGGACGUGCGCCUGAAAAGAGAAAGUCGUCUCCGCAACUUAACGAUUCAUUCAUUUAUUCAGGUGUAUGUGCCGAGGCGGAAUGCCCCGGGGAACAGCGCUGACUGUGCACUAGGAGUCUGAACCUUGUUUUUGGCUGAGGAGGAGAAGAAGGAGGAGGAGGAGACGGAGGAGAGGUCCUCCCCCCCCACAGCGUGCCGUGCCGAGCAGUGCUUGACGCCAUGUCCCUGACUG